This 42-nucleotide transfer RNA is filed under the name Astelia alpina var. novae-hollandiae. RNAcentral's name for it is "partial tRNA-Phe". The record is from RNAcentral. Lineage: Eukaryota; Viridiplantae; Streptophyta; Magnoliopsida; Asparagales; Asteliaceae.
UCGGGAUAGCUCAUUUGGUAGAGCAGAGGACUGAAAAUCCUC